GGAUGAUAAGGAAGAGGGAGAGAGAUGGAAGAGGGGGAUGGAAAAUGGAAGUCUGUAAUAGAAAGUGGUACCUUGGUUAGGUUUGUAACAAAAAAUUAUUACUGGUUUGUUAUUUUUCGAAAAUUGAGUGACUGAAUUGAAACUUGAGUGACUGUUUUGUCAGCUACCUCAAAGUUGAGUGAUUGUUGGUGUAAUUUACC
Molecule: long non-coding RNA, 200 nt
Filed under: Gossypium barbadense (sea-island cotton)
Lineage: Eukaryota; Viridiplantae; Streptophyta; Magnoliopsida; Malvales; Malvaceae
Description: long non-coding RNA (GBAR_LNC017002)
Source: RNAcentral